Molecule: ribosomal RNA, 253 nt
Filed under: uncultured bacterium
Lineage: Bacteria
Description: partial 16S ribosomal RNA
Rfam family: Bacterial small subunit ribosomal RNA
Source: RNAcentral
AACGUAGGUGGCGAGCGCUAUCCGGAUUCAUUGGGCGUAAAGAGCUUGUAGGCGGCGUCAUAAGUUGGACGUGAAAACUCCGGGCUUAACUUGGAGAGGCCGUUCAAUACUGUGGUGCUAGAGGGUGUCAGAGGGAAGUAGAAUUCCUGGUGUAGCAGUGAAAUGCGUAGAUAUCAGGAGGAAUACCCGUGGCGAAGGCGGCUUCCUGGGACACAUCUGACGCUGAGAAGCGAAAGCUAGGGGAGCAAACGGG